Mastomys coucha (southern multimammate mouse) is the source of this 678-nucleotide long non-coding RNA. RefSeq lists it as uncharacterized. The record is from RefSeq and is a predicted model, not a curated record. The transcript is spliced from 5 exons. NCBI's taxonomy places the organism in Eukaryota, Metazoa, Chordata, Mammalia, Rodentia, Muridae.
GGGGAAAGAACCCUCUCAUUCUGAAGUUGAAAUUUAUCCACUGGUUCAAUGGUUUCUGACAACCACACAGAAUAUCAGUUGCAUCCCUGUCUUAACACAUGGCAACCCCUGUGAAAGAGCCCUUUGACCUCCUAAAGGAGUUACAAUCCAGAGGUUGAGAACUGCUGACCUAGAACCUUAGAAGGACCACUGGCUGAACAAUCCACCUAACAAGAUGAAGAUGCUAAUUCUGGUCUACCUCAUCCAUGUCUAUCCUCCCAGUGACUCAGAAUCCUUUGCUGUCUACUCUCUGCCAUCAGUCUAAUCUAGACGCAAUGAUAAACCAAAGAGGAGCAGGAAGCCAAGAUCAUUUGCUGCUGCUUGCUUUUGAGCUCAUGAAUUUAUUAUAAAGAAUGUAAUCAAGGGACCAUGGAUGCUGAGCCCUGGUGGAGUUCAUAGGUAUGAGGUCUUGGGUUCAAUCUCCAGUCACAGCAUACCACCAACACCAUCACUGAAAAUGUAGUCCUGUUAGGGGAGGGGUCCUGUUACAAUGAAUUGGGUUAGUUACUAUGGGACAGAAUAAUCGACUUCCAUUUAUCAGACAGAAUUGACAAUCAUCUCUUCAUGAACUACUUUUAUUAUCAAUCUGUGGAUGCAUGAUGAUGCCUGUGUUUAAACAAACAAGUUUGAUUUGCCUGA